AAGUCCCGCAACGAGCGCAACCCUUGAUCUUAGUUGCCAUCAUUAAGUUGGGCACUCUAAGGUGACUGCCGGUGACAAACCGGAGGAAGGUGGGGAUGACGUCAAAUCAUCAUGCCCCUUAUGACCUGGGCUACACACGGGGUACAAUGGACGGUACAAAGAGCUGCAAGACCGCCAGGUGGAGCUAAUCUCAUAAAACCG
This 201-nucleotide ribosomal RNA is filed under the name Bacillus thuringiensis. RNAcentral describes it as "partial 16S ribosomal RNA". It matches the Rfam family "Bacterial small subunit ribosomal RNA", at positions 1082 to 1284 of the family's 1533-position model. The record is from RNAcentral. Lineage: Bacteria; Bacillati; Bacillota; Bacilli; Caryophanales; Bacillaceae.